CGCCAGACUCCUACGGGAGGCAGCAGUGGGGAAUAUUGCACAAUGGGGGAAACCCUGAUGCAGCGACGCCGCGUGAGCGAUGAAGUAUUUCGGUAUGUAAAGCUCUAUCAGCAGGGAAGAAGAUGACGGUACCUGACUAAGAAGCCCCGGCUAACUACGUGCCAGCAGCCGCGGUAAUACGUAGGGGGCAAGCGUUAUCCGGAUUUACUGGGUGUAAAGGGAGCGUAGACGGCGAUGCAAGCCAGAUGUGAAAGCCCGGGGCUCAACCCCGGGACUGCAUUUGGAACUGUGUGGCUGGAGUGUCGGAGAGGCAGGCGGAAUUCCUAGUGUAGCGGUGAAAUGCGUAGAUAUUAGGAGGAACACCAGUGGCGAAGGCGGCCUGCUGGACGAUGACUGACGUUGAGGCUCGAAAGCGUGGGGAGCAAACAGGAUUAGAUACCCUAGUA
Molecule: ribosomal RNA, 446 nt
Filed under: uncultured bacterium
Lineage: Bacteria
Description: bacterial SSU rRNA
Rfam family: Bacterial small subunit ribosomal RNA
Source: RNAcentral